CCUACGGGGGGCUGCAGUGAGGAAUAUUGGUCAAUGGACGAGAGUCUGAACCAGCCAAGUAGCGUGAAGGAUGACUGCCCUAUGGGUUGUAAACUUCUUUUAUAUGGGAAUAAAAUGUUCCACGUGUGGGAUUUUGUAUGUACCAUAUGAAUAAGGAUCGGCUAACUCCGUGCCAGCAGCCGCGGUAAUACGGAGGAUCCGAGCGUUAUCCGGAUUUAUUGGGUUUAAAGGGAGCGUAGGUGGAUUGUUAAGUCAGUUGUGAAAGUUUGCGGCUCAACCGUAAAAUUGCAGUUGAAACUGGCAGUCUUGAGUACAGUAGAGGUGGGCGGAAUUCGUGGUGUAGCGGUGAAAUGCUUAGAUAUCACGAAGAACUCCGAUUGCGAAGGCAGCUCACUGGACUGAAACUGACACUGAGGCUCGAAAGUGUGGGUAUCGAACAGGAUUAGAUACCCUAGUAGUC
RNAcentral lists this ribosomal RNA (460 nucleotides) under uncultured bacterium. RNAcentral's name for it is "partial 16S ribosomal RNA". It matches the Rfam family "Bacterial small subunit ribosomal RNA", at positions 338 to 795 of the family's 1533-position model. The record is from RNAcentral.